CAGUAGCCACGGGAAUACGAUGGUCCCGAGCGUUGUUCGGAAUCACUGGGCGUAAAGGGAGCGUAGGCGGCGUGGUAAGUCAGAUGUGAAAUCCCGGGGCUCAACCCCGGAACUGCAUCCGAUACUGCCAUGCUAGAGGAUUGGAGAGGUAGCUGGAAUUCUUGGUGUAGCAGUGAAAUGCGUGGAGAUCAAGAGGAACACUCGUGGCGAAAGCGAGCUACUGGACAAUAACUGACGCUGAGGCUCGAAGGCCAGGGUAGCGAAAGGGAUUAGAUACCCCUGUAGUCCCUGUCUCUUAUAC
This 301-nucleotide ribosomal RNA is filed under the name uncultured bacterium. RNAcentral's name for it is "partial 16S ribosomal RNA". It matches the Rfam family "Bacterial small subunit ribosomal RNA", at positions 509 to 807 of the family's 1533-position model. The record is from RNAcentral.